UGACAGGCGGCUGCUGCUCAUGGAUGCGUCACAGCCCACCCCCACCUCGGCCUGGGGGUCAUGGGCUCUCACUCACGAGGCAUUGGGAUGGAUGCAGGGGAAGGAUCUUAUUGCGCGAAAGAAGAGAGAGGUCGUUCUUGUCCCUGUGUGUGUAAAUGUGAAGUUGUCAAGGCUGUCUAUGAAGAGUGAAAUGAAUUGUGACGUGACAAACAGAGCAUAGAUCACCUUUCUUCAAUCAGCAAAGAAGAAUUAGAGCCACUGGAUCAAGUAUAAUCAGCAUGAACAGCUCCAGAGUCAUUUGAUGCACCAGCAAGUUUUGUUUUAUUUGGUCCAAAACUGUUUCCUGACUCCACUCCUAGAAUAACGAUCAAGAUAUAGGAACUCCAGCUAUUCUGAGUUCAUAAAUAUGUGGAACUUCAUACAAGCAGCCCUUGAAAGUCAAUUUCUG
Molecule: long non-coding RNA, 448 nt
Organism: Mauremys reevesii (Reeves's turtle)
Lineage: Eukaryota; Metazoa; Chordata; Testudines; Geoemydidae
Exons: 6
Source: RefSeq, a predicted model, not a curated record